GCUGGGCGUGGUGGCGCAUGCCUGUAAUCCCAGCAACUCCGGAGGCUGAGGCAGGAGGAUGGCAAGUUCAAAGACAGCCUCAGCAACCGAGCAAGGCCCUAAGCAACUGAGCAAGACUCUGUCUCAA
Molecule: small RNA, 127 nt
Filed under: Marmota monax (woodchuck)
Lineage: Eukaryota; Metazoa; Chordata; Mammalia; Rodentia; Sciuridae
Source: RNAcentral